Molecule: transfer RNA, 58 nt
Filed under: Centrorhynchus milvus
Lineage: Eukaryota; Metazoa; Acanthocephala; Palaeacanthocephala; Polymorphida; Centrorhynchidae
Description: tRNA-Thr
Source: RNAcentral
GUUUAGAUAAUGAGAAUAUGAAUUUUGUAAAUUUGGGGUUAGUGCUGGCUUGUGGGCC